UUCCCACGAAUUUUCUUGAGGUCCUUCUACUUCUAACGACACAGCUCCCUCUCCGGCUGCCCAGAUCCGGUGAUUCCCUGGUGGACGACGACUACUCCACGACCGCUCCCUGCCUCCUCCCCCUCCCACUCCGGCAUCCAGGUUGGGUGACUCCAUCUCCCGGUCACCCCAUCGCCGCGCUGCACAUCGUCGUCAGGGACCAAGGCGCCGCCGCCACGGCGUCCUCCUCCCCGGUGGCCGCGGGUGCCCCGCCCACCAAGCUACCCCUUCUUAUCUUUCCGGAGGCGAUCUGGUAGUGCUCGAGCUCGCGGUGAUGCGGCCACGAUAUCCUCCUCCCCGGUGCUCCUAGAUCUAGCAAUAGCUCACCGGAGGCAAGCCGGGGUGCUCGAUCUGCUCGCCUCCUUCGCCUCGCAGGCUCAGCAAGCAGAAUCAAGCACAUGAAGAUUCAUGAGCAAGAAGCACUAUCAAUGGAUGCAAGCUUUGGUAGCGAUGCUUAUUCAGCGGGGAUCACUUCAGUCCUUCAUACUCGGGGUUCGAUGUUCAUGUCGUAGAAAAUGAUAUGUCAUGUUAUGUACCAAGUGAUAUAUGUAUGUGUCUUGUGUACUCAAAUUAGGAUGGAUGGCGUGGAACCGAAAAAGUUUCUGCCUAGGAUGAUCCUCUUGGACAUGUAUUCAAAAAUUCGUGCUGGACAUACACUGCCAUAUUUGUGUCUGGGUCCAUAUUUGAAUUUACUAGGAACAGAAUGGUUGUGACGAUUUGAAGUAGAAAAUGAUCAUGCCAUGAUAUGUACCAAGUUUAUGUAUUUAUGUGUAUUGUGUACUCCAAUUAGGAUGAA
Molecule: long non-coding RNA, 835 nt
Organism: Triticum aestivum (bread wheat)
Lineage: Eukaryota; Viridiplantae; Streptophyta; Magnoliopsida; Poales; Poaceae
Exons: 2
Source: RefSeq, a predicted model, not a curated record